UGGGGAAUAUUGCACAAUGGAGGGAACUCUGAUGCAGCAACGCCGCGUGCGGGAUGACGGCCUUCGGGUUGUAAACCGCUUUCAGCCAUGACGAAGCUUUUGUGACGGUAGUGGUAGAAGAAGCACCGGCUAACUACGUGCCAGCAGCCGCGGUGAUACGUAGGGUGCGAGCGUUGUCCGGAAUUAUUGGGCGUAAAGAGCUUGUAGGCGGUUUGUCGCGUCGAUAGUGUAAACACGCGGCUUAACUGUGUGCCUGCUGUCGAUACGGGCUGACUAGAGGGGGGUAGGGGAGAAGGGAAUUCCCGGUGGAGCGGGGGAAUGCGCAGAUAUCGGGAGGAACACCAGUGGCGAAGGCGGUUCUCUGGACCUUUCCUGACGCUGAGAAGCGAAAGCGUGGGUAGCAAACAGG
RNAcentral lists this ribosomal RNA (409 nucleotides) under Fusobacteriota bacterium. Its description in RNAcentral is "Fusobacteria bacterium partial 16S ribosomal RNA". It matches the Rfam family "Bacterial small subunit ribosomal RNA", at positions 355 to 776 of the family's 1533-position model. The record is from RNAcentral. Lineage: Bacteria; Fusobacteriati; Fusobacteriota.